CCAAUGUGGAUACCCCAGGAAGUCACUCUCCCUGGGCUCUGUCCAGGUGGCCCAGGGGAGCACAGGACUCUGCCCAGUGAUGUACGGUCCCAUUCCAUGAUGUUGGAGAGGAAGCUGGGCUCAGGCCUGCACCUGCAUAUUCUUACAGCUUCUCAGUCCUAUGGACAAUGCCUGAAGAGACAAAGCAUGCAGGAAAUAUAU
RNAcentral lists this small nucleolar RNA (201 nucleotides) under Dasypus novemcinctus (nine-banded armadillo). RNAcentral describes it as "Small nucleolar RNA SNORA73 family (ENSDNOG00000042808.1)". It matches the Rfam family "Small nucleolar RNA SNORA73 family". Rfam says of the family: U17 (SNORA73A and SNORA73B) also known as E1 belongs to the H/ACA class of small nucleolar RNAs (snoRNAs). Vertebrate U17 is intron-encoded and ranges in length from 200-230 nucleotides, longer than most snoRNAs. It is one of the most abundant snoRNAs in human cells and is essential for the cleavage of pre-rRNA within the 5' external transcribed spacer (ETS). Lineage: Eukaryota; Metazoa; Chordata; Mammalia; Cingulata; Dasypodidae. The record is from RNAcentral.